GGCUCUGUAGUGAAAUUCAUAGUGAGUUGCAAGCUCAUUGAUGUGCAUUAGACGUGUACCGGAGUCU
Molecule: transfer RNA, 67 nt
Filed under: Piranga roseogularis (rose-throated tanager)
Lineage: Eukaryota; Metazoa; Chordata; Aves; Passeriformes; Cardinalidae
Description: tRNA-Cys
Source: RNAcentral